Molecule: ribosomal RNA, 1081 nt
Filed under: uncultured Rhizaria
Lineage: Eukaryota
Description: SSU rRNA
Rfam family: Eukaryotic small subunit ribosomal RNA
Source: RNAcentral
CGGUAAUUCCAGCUCCAAUAGCGUAUACUAAAGUUGUUGCAGUUAAAAAGCUCGUAGUUGGAUUUCUGCGGGGACGGAGCGGCCGGUCGCAACUUGCGACUCGAGCUAGCGCUUUCCCCGCAUCCUGCCGCGAACCGUGCUACCAUUAGCUUGGUGGCGCUGGGGAUCGGCUCGAUUACUUUGAGAAAAAUAGAGUGUUCAAAGCAGGCCACACGCCUUGAAUAAGUUAGCAUGGAAUAAUGACUAAGGACUUCGGUUCUAUUUUGUUGGUGUUCGGGACUGAAGUAAUGAUUGAUAGGGACAGUUGGGGCGGUCUGUAUUCCAAAGCGAGAGGUGAAAUUCUUAGACCUUCGGAAGACAAACAGCUGCGAAAGCGUUCCGCAAGGAUGUUCCCUUUGAUCAAGAACGAAAGUUGGGGGAUCGAAGACGAUCAGAUACCGUCGUAGUCUCAACUAUAAACUAUACCAGCUAGGGAUCGGUCAACGUUUAAUCAUUCGACUUGAUCGGCACCUUAUGAGAAAUCAAAGCAUCUGGGUUCCGGGGGGAGUAUGGUCGCAAGGCUGAAACUUAAAGGAAUUGACGGAAGGGCACCACCAGCCGUGGAGCCUGUGGCUUAAUUUGACUCAACACGGGAAAACUUACCAGGUCCAGACAUAGUAAGGAUUGACGGAUUGAUAGCUCUUUCUUGAUUCUGUGGGUGGUGGCGCAUGGCCGUUCUUAGUUGGUGGAGUGAUUUGUCUGGUUAAUUCCGUUAACGAACGAGACCCCAGCCUGCUAAAUAGCGCGGCUGAGCUUUGCUCGGUGCGAGCUUCUUAGAGGGACUAUGAUGCGCGAUAGCACAUGGAAGUUUGGGGCAAUAACAGGUCUGUGAUGCCCUUAGAUGUUCUGGGCCGCACACGGGCUACACUGGCGCCUGCAACGAGCAUAUCAGCUGGCCCGAGAGGGUCUUGGCUAAUCUUUUGAACCGGCGCCGUGCUUGGGAUUGACCAUUGCAAUUGUUGGUCAUGCAACGAGGAAUGCCUUGUAAACGCGAGUCAUCAGCUCGCAUUGAAUACGUCCCUGCUCCUUGUACACACCGCCC